Molecule: non-coding RNA, 243 nt
Organism: Pelobates cultripes (western spadefoot toad)
Lineage: Eukaryota; Metazoa; Chordata; Amphibia; Anura; Pelobatidae
Source: the annotation of a GenBank genome assembly
GGGAGAGGAGACGGUCGGUCCCUCUCCCCAGUGGCCGAGUGUGUUACAGGGAGUGGAGACAACCGGUCUCACUCCCCAGCGGCAGUGUGUAUUCCAGAGAGAGAAGUGUGUCGCCAUUCCUCCCCAGCGGCAGAGUGUGUUACAGGGAGUGGAGACAACCGGUCUCACUCCCCAGCGGCAGUGUGCAGUACAGGGAGCGGAGUGUGUCAUCCUUCCUCCUCAGCGGCAGAGUGUAUUAUUGGG